CCUGAGAAAUAAUCUGGAGUAGAUUCUAAGCAUGUAUAUUAAGUUUCUAAAUUAUCUAUUAGUCUAGAUUUUUGGAAAUUACUACAUAAUUUAUAGAAAAACUACACAAUAAUAUUCCUUGUCCUUGCCAUCCACAAGUUAAAACAAAAAAUGCUAUGAAUGUUUGUUAUUUAAAUGUUUAACGCUCAGAGGAAGCAAUCAGAAGAACCAAGGAAAGGAAAAUUAAAACCUAAGACACUAAUAAAAAAUAAAACAGCAACUAUGAGACCUAUUUAAUUCCUAUUUCUUUCCUUUGAAAAUAAAUUGUGACUCACCAUUAAAUCCAUACCAGUGACCCAUGCAUUUAAUAUUUUAGAGAAGACAUCACAGCUGCCUUGCAUGAAGUAUUUCACCUUUGGUUUCAUUAUUUGUAGAGUUUUAGCAUUUUGUGCUUUUAAACCAAACUGUCUGGUUUUUGUUUUCUUUCUUCAGUAUAUUCGUUCUUUAUUGGACUGUCUUUGCCCUGAGAUUAUAUAUAUCAUAACCCAGCUGUACUGGUCCACUUUAUCAUACCAAAUACUAAUUUUGUCACUACCCACAUACCCAUCCGACUGUCUGGAUAAUAAGUAUUUUUAAAAUAGGAAUUUCCUAAUGCCUAAUGUACAAGCCCCAUGAAAGGAAAUCAUGCCUUACUCCAUCCAUUAAAAAAAAAUUUAGGAUGUCAGCAC
RNAcentral lists this long non-coding RNA (707 nucleotides) under Homo sapiens (human). Its description in RNAcentral is "HSALNT0315363". The record is from RNAcentral. Lineage: Eukaryota; Metazoa; Chordata; Mammalia; Primates; Hominidae.